Molecule: long non-coding RNA, 4117 nt
Organism: Xenopus tropicalis (tropical clawed frog)
Lineage: Eukaryota; Metazoa; Chordata; Amphibia; Anura; Pipidae
Exons: 3
Source: RefSeq, a predicted model, not a curated record
AUCAUAGGUAAAUUGUGCUCAUGCAAUGAAUGAACCCAGGUAGAAGCUAGCUUUAGGAUGCUAUUCUGAAGGCUUUAAACAAAUGUGACUGCAGCAGUAAAUCAGUAAAAAAAAGCACAUUAGUUACAAUAAAGCACAGUGCAGUAAUUUCAUUUCUAGCCAUUGAGCUCAUCUCACGCCUUGCUGUCUUGUUUUCUUUUGUCCCUAGAUUUUGUGUUUUCUUUUAAUUAAGCGUGUUCAGUCUAUUUCUUUAAGUCUGUCCUCUUGUAUAUCGUCAAAUUGCCAGUCUUUCUGAUUGUUAUGAGAAUCUUCAGGCAGAAGGAAAUUAAGUUUAAUAUUUACUCUUUCUACACUACAGCAAGACAUCGUUUGCAGCCAAAAUGCCUCAAGGGGCUUAGAGCAGCUUCUGACAAAGGAGAUGAUUCAAAGUACACAGCUUGAAUGGCUGCCUCCAUGGCUACACAGCAUUUCUCAUUUCUCUUAUGACAGGAAGAACUGUACUGACAUAAAGACUGAGAGUGAUGUGGAAGCCCUUAGGCCCGAGGGAAGGAGAGCGCUUAUGUGGAAAUCAAGAAGAGGAUCCCCCUAAAUGAGGAAAAGUCCCUGGAAAAUCAUGCUCUAUGAGUGUGAGUUAGGGUAAUUAGUACGAACAGUUGUGCGCCCUACUAAUGAGAGACAGUGUGGGCUUACUAUCCCCUGUGAGUGAGACUCACCUAUAAAGAACUUUCAUUCAUGUGAGAAACGUGUUCAUACACAAGUCUGCAAUUUACAAUAUUUAAGCUAUUUCUGUUUUAAAGGUUCAGUUUAGCAAUACAUUUCAAGUUAUUGCAGACAAAAUUGGGAAGCAUGUGUUCAUCUGUCGCUUUAGUUUAAGAACAGCAGGAGGCUAUGUAAAAUAUAUGUUGUAGCAUUAGAUAAGUCUAUUCUUACAGAUCAGGCACAUAAUGGCUUUUAAAACUACAGUGCUCUGGGCUUCUCUUGCGUCGGUCAUUAUUAUAUCUUUACUACUGAACAAUCACACAAGACUUUGUAGCAAAGAGCAAAAACUCUUAGGGGUUUACUGUGAAUCUCUUUCAGUGGGAAGUGUUGCAAUUGUUGUCAAUAUAAAGUAAUCUGCAGCAAUCCCCUGGCUCAUGUGCUGCAGUCAAAAAGUCUAUAGUAAUGGAAACAGUAGAAAUCAAAUCGACUCCAUGACAAAUGCAAUAGAGUGCUCUGUUAAAGAAAGACAAAAUCUCAGCAAUAUUACAGGGUACAUAGUUUUAAGAGCAAGUAUUAGCCACUGCAUUACAUACUUCUAAAACAGAAGUAAAGAACCUUUCAAAGUUUCCUUUCAAACAUGUCCUGCUGACUGAUUUCCCUGGCUGAUCAGGAAAGAUGGUGCCAAUAUUCAUUGCAGGAUGCCAGCCAAUUCCCACCUGGUGGCCUGGCAACUAGCAGCUCAGCAGACCUGACAGGGGACUGCAGUUUGCUUGAGUGAGGGCAAAGGUCUCUUUCUUACUGACAAUAAGGGCAUAUCUAUAGCUCAUUUAUAACACAGACAUAUACGUAAACUGUGAGGAGAUUCAGUAAAGAUUAUAUUUUUAAAGAUAUUGAUUUAAUUUUUAACUUAUACUUAGACUAGGCAUUUUGACAACAAAUACCAGAAAUAAUGCCAACCAGAAAACAUUUGCCACAAUUGCUUCUGAUUGCACUUGAAUUUUCUGAUGCACUAGAAGUUUUUCUUUUAUUGCAGAAGUUUCCUUUAGACUUUAAUAGUAAAGCAACCUGAGUAUUCUUAAGAACUCCUAAGAAUUCUUGAGUAAGUGGAGUGUUAGAAUUCCAUUCAAACAAACGCUGCCACACCCACUGGUUUGAAUGCAUCUCGGCAGGUCUAAGAUCCUGAACUUCUAAAAAUGCCAGCGAGAAGACAUGAGAAAAAUUGAUAAACAUUCAGUUUGCAGAAGAAAUAUUUUUUUUCCACAUCACUAAAAAAAAAUCAGUCCUUCAGUGUAAAUGCUGGUAUAGCUGCAAAUUUAGCUGCUCAAUGAACAUAAUAUAUUUUCUUGUAAAGUUGAUCAUUUAUAUUGAAAGUAUUUCCACAGUUCAGGGUCACUGAACAUAUUCCUCUGAGUUGCAAAGCUGCUAUUUUAUUAUUGACGCAGUGUGUAGCAGAGUAAAGUGCUUCUAGUUGGCGGUAUCAGUACUGCUCAGUCUCUCUGAGACUUUGAGAGAACGACACAGAGUAAACAGUGUCAACCAAAUGCAAAACCUACUAAAACCUGUACAGCAAAACCUGUAAAUCUAUUUUUGUGUUUUUGAAUUGUUUAUGGAAGAAAACUGCCUUUGUUUUUCCACCUGCUGCUGCCAGCUGAAAUAAAAGGCAUUUUUCUUUAAGAAACUUUUGCUGUCCUGAAAAUUACCCUGUGUGAACCUGCCACAUUUGGAGGUCUGCUAUUAAACCACUGAGUGGUCCGUGGUUGUUAUACGAAGUUUUUUUGUAAAAUUUAAUGCAACAGCAAGAUUGUCAGAUCCAAUGGGGCAACUUGCUCCCUUUUCUGCUCUUUUUUGCUUUCUGGGAAGUCCCACACACCUCUUUAGUAGGAAAAAAAGUUGUGGAGUAACAAGCAUGAAAAACGAAAUGCUAAGGGGUGCCCAAUAAGGACUGUGAUUGGCUAUUUGGUUGUUCCAUUUAGACUGGAAGCCGACAGGAGGUCGCAAGUGCACAUGGUUUUUAUGACUCUAAAACUUGUCUUUAAUUCAGAAAUUCAAAAAUAAGCUCCUGCUUUGAGGCUUCUGGGAACAACUUUAAUGGGGUUUUUGAGCAACAUGUUGCCCACAAGCCAUUGGGAUCACUGCUCUCUGCCUGUCUCCCUGGAGUUAUUAAGGUUGUGUGUGGGGCUAUAGAGAACAGCUUUCCCACAAAAAGUCAUACAAUUAUUUUCAGUAUAUCCAUAUCAUCUAUUGUACAAGUGUCACAUUUUGAUGAAUGUAUAUAUUCUCUGCCAAGCUGUUGCACUCCAGCACCUCACUGUUUGUUACAUCGUGGUGUAAAAAUUCAUGGCAAGAAUUUCUGUGCUGGGUGACAGCAGUGCUUAAUUAUACACUGUCACAUCCUGCACUCAAGUAACCCGGAUAUAAUUAUAUUACAAUGAAAUCAUGUAAUGAUGGAAUAGCUGAAAAACCAGUUAUUGGCCUUAGUAUGAAAGGACCCUGGUUAAUAAUACAGUUUCUAGAAUUCAUGUAAUAUUUAACCUAUUUAGAAAAUCCUUUAAUAUACAGCUUGUACAUUUAAGAGUAUAUCCACCCAAAAACAGUUUUUUGUUUUUUCUUGCUUAAUGAAAUGCAGUUUAAUUCAGAUAUCCAAUAUAUAUGUUAUAGUUAUUUGUAAACGUUAUUGAUGGCAGAUCUUACAAUUCUCUCCUCUCCUUUCCCAGAGUACUCAUGCCGUUGCUUUCCCCCCACAAAGCUUGUGUAUUCUAUAGAUCUGUGAAGAACAGACAUUUGCAAGGCAUUGUGAAAACUAGAGUCUUGACUUGAGGGAAAGCGAUUUCGGAUAGAUAAUGGUGGUGGUGGUCAAUUACAAGUGCAGUUGUGGCUGUACAAAUUUCAUUAAAGAUACUUGUGCCAAAAAGUGAUCCAUGUAGCUGUCCCUGCUGCUGCUCAAUCUGUCCUGCCUGCUGCUCUAAAUCUUGUGCAAGUGCCCCUACUGACAGAGGUGAAUCACUGCGCCACUACUGAAGGUGGCAGUAGCUCCAGGGGUCCCGGAGCGGUCUGCACGUCGAAGUUGGAAAUGUUAUUUUUGUCACAUGUUAUUUUACCACAAUACCAUUUGCUUUGCCCCAUCGCAAUUAUGCUAGAAUUAUGGGCGCAGCGCUGCAUUGUGGGUAAAAAAGGAUGGCGACUUGUGCCCAAAAUUGCACUUUGCACAUGCACUUGUGGUCAUAAAUGACUCCCAUUACUCACAUGCAUUAACAAAGGACAGACAGAAGCAACUUUCAACUGCAGUUUCAUAAUAAAUGAGAUUGUUGAGAAUUUUUUCAUGAAUACAUGAAACUGGCUUAUUUAUUCAGGUGUAUAUUUAAAGGGGAACUCCAUCUUCCAAACCAUAGUUUGUUAACUAGACCCACACAAUACAGAA